AUGAACGCUAGCUACAGGCUUAACACAUGCAAGUCGAGGGGCAUCAGGAAGAAAGCUUGCUUUCUUUGCUGGCGACCGGCGCACGGGUGAGUAACACGUAUCCAACCUGCCCUUUACUCGGGGAUAGCCUUUCGAAAGAAAGAUUAAUACCCGAUNGUAUAAUNAUUCCGCAUGGUUUGAUUAUUAAAGGAUUCCGGUAAAGGAUGGGGAUGCGUUCCAUUAGGUUGUUGGUGAGGUAACGGCNCACCAAGCCUUCGAUGGAUAGGGGUUCUGAGAGGAAGGUCCCCCACAUUGGAACUGAGACACGGUCCAAACUCCUACGGGAGGCAGCAGUGAGGAAUAUUGGUCAAUGGGCGCGAGCCUGAACCAGCCAAGUAGCGUGAAGGAUGACUGCCCUAUGGGUUGUAAACUUCUUUUAUAUUAGAAUAAAGUGCAGUAUGUAUACUGUUUUGUAUGUAUAAUAUGAAUAAGGAUCGGCUAACUCCGUGCCAGCAGCCGCGGUAAUACGGAGGAUCCGAGCGUUAUCCGGAUUUAUUGGGUUUAAAGGGAGCGUAGGUGGACUGGUAAGUCAGUUGUGAAAGUUUGCGGCUCAACCGUAAAAUUGCAGUUGAUACUGUCAGUCUUGAGUACAGUAGAGGUGGGCGGAAUUCGUGGUGUAGCGGUGAAAUGCUUAGAUAUCACGAAGAACUCCGAUUGCGAAGGCAGCUCACUGGACUGCAACUGACACUGAUGCUCGAAAGUGUGGGUAUCAAACAGGAUUAGAUACCCUGGUAGUCCACACAGUAAACGAUGAAUACUCGCUGUUUGCGAUAUACAGUAAGCGGCCAAGCGAAAGCAUUAAGUAUUCCACCUGGGGAGUACGCCGGCAACGGUGAAACUCAAAGGAAUUGACGGGGGCCCGCACAAGCGGAGGAACAUGUGGUUUAAUUCGAUGAUACGCGAGGAACCUUACCCGGGCUUAAAUUGCAGUGGAAUGAUGUGGAAACAUGUCAGUGAGCAAUCACCGCUGUGAAGGUGCUGCAUGGUUGUCGUCAGCUCGUGCCGUGAGGUGUCGGCUUAAGUGCCAUAACGAGCGCAACCCUUAUCUUCAGUUACUAACAGGUCAUGCUGAGGACUCUGGAGAGACUGCCGUCGUAAGAUGUGAGGAAGGUGGGGAUGACGUCAAAUCAGCACGGCCCUUACGUCCGGGGCUACACACGUGUUACAAUGGGGGGUACAGAAGGCAGCUACCUGGUGACAGGAUGCUAAUCCCAAAAGCCUCUCUCAGUUCGGAUCGAAGUCUGCAACCCGACUUCGUGAAGCUGGAUUCGCUAGUAAUCGCGCAUCAGCCACGGCGCGGUGAAUACGUUCCCGGGCCUUGUACACACCGCCCGUCAAGCCAUGGGAGCCGGGGGUACCUGAAGUACGUAACCGCAAGGAUCGUCCUA
This 1427-nucleotide ribosomal RNA is filed under the name Bacteroides fragilis. RNAcentral describes it as "bacterial SSU rRNA". It matches the Rfam family "Bacterial small subunit ribosomal RNA". The record is from RNAcentral. Lineage: Bacteria; Pseudomonadati; Bacteroidota; Bacteroidia; Bacteroidales; Bacteroidaceae.